Ribosomal RNA from Scophthalmus maximus (turbot), 119 nucleotides. The record is from Ensembl. Lineage: Eukaryota; Metazoa; Chordata; Actinopteri; Pleuronectiformes; Scophthalmidae.
GCUUACGGCCACACCGCCUGGUUCACGCCUGAUCUCAAUUGAUCACGGAAGCUAAGAUAGGGUGGGCCAGGUUAGUACUUGGAUGGGAGACCGCCUGGGAAUACCAGGUGCUGUAAGCU